RNAcentral lists this ribosomal RNA (292 nucleotides) under uncultured prokaryote. Its description in RNAcentral is "partial 16S ribosomal RNA". It matches the Rfam family "Bacterial small subunit ribosomal RNA", at positions 505 to 796 of the family's 1533-position model. The record is from RNAcentral.
GUGCCAGCAGCCGCGGUAAUACGGAGGGUGCAAGCGUUAAUCGGAAUUACUGGGCGUAAAGCGCAUGCAGGUGGUGGAUUAAGUCAGAUGUGAAAGCCCGGGGCUCAACCUCGGAACCGCAUUUGAAACUGGUUCACUAGAGUACUGUAGAGGGGGGUAGAAUUUCAGGUGUAGCGGUGAAAUGCGUAGAGAUCUGAAGGAAUACCGGUGGCGAAGGCGGCCCCCUGGACAGAUACUGACACUCAGAUGCGAAAGCGUGGGGAGCAAACAGGAUUAGAUACCCCCGUAGUCC